This 482-nucleotide ribosomal RNA is filed under the name uncultured bacterium. RNAcentral's name for it is "partial 16S ribosomal RNA". It matches the Rfam family "Bacterial small subunit ribosomal RNA", at positions 30 to 507 of the family's 1533-position model. The record is from RNAcentral.
AUUGAACGCUGGCGGCAUGCUUUACACAUGCCAGUCGAACGGUAACAGGCCGCAAGGUGCUGACGAGUGGCGAACGGGUGAGUAAUGCAUCGGAACGUGCCCAGUCGUGGGGGAUAACUACUCGAAAGAGUAGCUAAUACCGCAUACGAUCUAUGGAUGAAAGCGGGGGACCGUAAGGCCUCGCGCGAUUGGAGCGGCCGAUGUCAGAUUAGGUAGUUGGUGGGGUAAAGGCUCACCAAGCCAACGAUCUGUAGCUGGUCUGAGAGGACGACCAGCCGCACUGGAACUGGGACACGGCCCAGACUCCUACGGGAGGCAGCAGUGGGGAAUUGUGGACAAUGGGCGCAAGCCUGAUCCAGCAAUGCCGCGUGCAGGAAGAAGGCCUUCGGGUUGUAAACUGCUUUUGUACGGAACGAAACGGCUCUGGUUAAUACCCGGGGCUAAUGACGGUACCGGAAGAAUAAGCACCGGCUAACUACGUG